CAUGCAUAUAGAUUGUGUCAGAACCCCUAAUGGCAAAACAUCAAGUACCUUCUGAAGAUGUGCUUUGGUCCAAUGUAUCCACAAGUUCCAUGUUUAUAACUAGCAAGAACAGAUGAUUUUUUCAGAGCCACUGGAACAGCACAGGCUAGCAGCAAAAAUUACUGGUCAAGGAAUGCAAAUGAAACUAUGGUGCCAGAUGGAGGACAUUUCUAGCAGCAUGUGCUUGCUGCUCCAUGUCUUUCCAUCCACCAAAAAACAACAACAACAACAACUAACAAACUCUCCAAGUGAAAGCAGAAGAACUGGUACCUGGAGAGACAGACACAGGCCCACCUGGUCUUCCUGAAUUGUGUGUCAGCCCCAACUCUCAUCUGACAGCAGCCUCCUUACUGCCUCCUUCCUUUCCCUGGAAUGACUGUGGGUAACUGAAAACACAACAAGCAAAACCUUGGAUGGGGGGAGUGUGGGGAAAUGACUACUGUGUUUGUGAAGCACUUUGCCAAUCAUACAGUGCUAUAUAAGUACUAGCUAUAAUAGGAGCAUUCUCACCAAGGAUAUACCUGGAAAUUCAUCCACACCCUAUUAUCCUGUGCAAUUCUUGUUGAUAUGUUCCCAUGAAUCCUACAAAUAUGGUAGACCCCUUUAGAUUUUGUACUGAUAAAUGGAGAUUAAAGCUGUCCAUUGGUUA
Molecule: long non-coding RNA, 688 nt
Organism: Monodelphis domestica (gray short-tailed opossum)
Lineage: Eukaryota; Metazoa; Chordata; Mammalia; Didelphimorphia; Didelphidae
Source: RefSeq, a predicted model, not a curated record